Molecule: ribosomal RNA, 402 nt
Filed under: Triticum aestivum (bread wheat)
Lineage: Eukaryota; Viridiplantae; Streptophyta; Magnoliopsida; Poales; Poaceae
Description: partial small subunit ribosomal RNA
Source: RNAcentral
AUGUGCUUGCAAACCAAGACUUUGUUGAGGCUUUUCUGCGGGGUCAGGGGAGACGCCAGUGAUCAAGCGGCAGCGGCCUACAGCCUGGGAGACCUGCACAAGGGAGCUGCCAAGAUCUCCAACGACAUCCUCGACUCUGUCGGGGUUUCAUUAUAUGCAACAACAAAAAAUUCGACAACAGUAUACGCGACAAAUGGUGCUAUUUGCGUCUGCUGCAAUCUCCUCAUACUUACCAGGGUUGAGUGCCCAACAUUCCCGAAGAUGGCACCCGAGACGUGUCCGCAGCCAGAAGCAGCGAAGUUGCGGUACAAGAAGCUGGGAGAUUCAGAUCUCCUUAUUAGCGAGAUAACUCUUGGAACAGGCAUCAACAUACUGGACACCGCAGAAAUUGCCGUUUUCUAA